This 764-nucleotide long non-coding RNA is filed under the name Vulpes vulpes (red fox). RNAcentral's name for it is "lncRNA (ENSVVUG00000003378.1)". The record is from RNAcentral. Lineage: Eukaryota; Metazoa; Chordata; Mammalia; Carnivora; Canidae.
UGGAGGGAGAAGAAGAAGGAGGACGAGGAGGAGGAGGAGGAGGACGGGGAGGAGGAGGAGGAGGAGAGAGCGGAGUAUACCGCAGACAUCAUUUCUACUACAGUGGCGGAGCCGUCCAGGACCUGUUUCACUGCAGGGGGACCACAAAACAAGCCCCGCGGAGCAGCCGCCGGAGCUACAGCAGCCGCAAGACACUGUUUCUCUCCCUCUGCCCCCCCUUCCCCACGCAACCCCAGAUCCAUUUACACUUUACAGAGCAUCGUGCAGCAGCCAGUCCCCAGGGUGGUCCGUUCAAGCUGCGGAUUUGUUUGCCAUCACUCUAAGACAAUCUCCUCCUCCACGGCCACUCCAGGGAAGUGCAUCAGAAAUCAGCAUACUGGAGCAAAAUGAAAGAAUUUGUUCUGAGGCCUCAAAAGUAGUGCUGCUACGGACCAUGAGCAAGAAAGGGUGGACUUCAGCCUGCACGGAUGGUCUUGAAACACAAAUAGUUGUGGGUAAGUCAUCCAAAGGACUUGGCAUUCAUUAGCUCUAGAUUUCAUCAAUCAUCAUUUAUUUGGUGUCUCAGGACAUCUUAGUCGAGUGCAGGGCUAUUUCUCUACAACCCAAGCAACAGGCUGUGUGAGAAAAUGUUGUUCUAGUGAUGGAGAGCCAAGAGAACAAUGAAAUUGACUUAGCAUGUUUGUUUCUAAAAUUUGCAGAGUAAAAACAAAACAAAACAAAACAACAAAAAAAUAAAAUUUGCAGAGUAGCGGGAUCUGAGUACA